UACAGAGGGUGCGAGCGUUAAUCGGAAUUACUGGGCGUAAAGCGUGCGCAGGCGGUUUUGUAAGUCUGUCGUGAAAUCCCCGGGCUUAACCUGGGAAUUGCGCUUGAAACUAGCGGGCUUGAGUGUGGCAGAGGGGGGUGGAAUUCCACGUGUAGCAGUGAAAUGCGUAGAGAUGUGGAGGAACACCGAUGGCGAAGGCAGCCCCCUGGGUCAACACUGACGCUCAUGCACGAAAGCGUGGGGAGCAAACAGG
Molecule: ribosomal RNA, 253 nt
Filed under: uncultured prokaryote
Description: partial 16S ribosomal RNA
Rfam family: Bacterial small subunit ribosomal RNA
Source: RNAcentral